RNAcentral lists this ribosomal RNA (301 nucleotides) under Drosophila canalinea. Its description in RNAcentral is "partial 12S ribosomal RNA". The record is from RNAcentral. Lineage: Eukaryota; Metazoa; Arthropoda; Insecta; Diptera; Drosophilidae.
AAGAUUUGUUAUUAAUUUGAUUUAUAUGUAAAUUUUAGUGAGAAAUUUUAUUAAUUUUAAAAAUUAUUGAAUUUUAUAUAGUCGCAGUAAUUAAUUUUGUUAAUUAAAGAAAUUUAGAAACAGUAAUAUUAAAGAGUAUAGAUAAAAUUGGUGCCAGCAAUCGCGGUUACACCAGUUAUACAAAUAAAUUAUUUUAGUGUAAGUUAAAUUAAUUUAUUUUAAAAAAAAAAUGAAUUUAUUAAGUGAAAUUUUUAAAUUUAAAAUUUUUAUAAAAAAAAUAAUUGAAGAUUGGAAAUUUUAU